This 433-nucleotide ribosomal RNA is filed under the name uncultured organism. Its description in RNAcentral is "bacterial SSU rRNA". It matches the Rfam family "Bacterial small subunit ribosomal RNA", at positions 346 to 794 of the family's 1533-position model. The record is from RNAcentral.
GCGCAGCAGUCGAGAAUUUUCACAAUGGGGGAAACCCUGAUGGAGCGACGCCGCGUGGAGGAUGAAGGCCUUUUGGUCGUAAACUCCUGUCAAACGGGAACAAGAAAGUGAUAGUACCGUUAGAGGAAGAGGCGGCUAACUCUGUGCCAGCAGCCGCGGUAAUACAGAGGCCUCAAGCGUUGUUCGGAUUCAUUGGGCGUAAAGGGUGCGUAGGUGGCUUGUUAAGUUGAAGGUGAAAUCUCGGGGCUCAACUCCGAAACUGCCUUCAAUACUGGCGAGCUCGAGGAUUGUAGAGGAGAAUGGAAUUCACGGUGUAGCAGUGAAAUGCGUAGAUAUCGUGAGGAAGACCAGUGGCGAAGGCGAUUCUCUGGGCAAUUCCUGACACUGAGGCACGAAGGCCAGGGGAACGAACGGGAUUAGAUACCCCCGUAGU